AUAUUGGUCAAUGGAGGCAACUCUGAACCAGCCAUGCCGCGUGCAGGAAGACAGCCCUAUGGGUCGUAAACUGCUUUUAUACGGGAAUAAACCUGUCUACGUGUAGACAGCUGAAUGUACCGUAAGAAUAAGGAUCGGCUAACUCCGUGCCAGCAGCCGCGGUAAUACGGAGGAUCCAAGCGUUAUCCGGAUUUAUUGGGUUUAAAGGGAGCGUAGGCGGUCUGUUAAGUCAGGGGUGAAAGACGGUGGCUCAACCAUCGCAGUGCCUUUGAUACUGACGGACUUGAAUAUAGUUGAGGUAGGCGGAAUGUGACAAGUAGCGGUGAAAUGCAUAGAUAUGUCACAGAACACCAAUUGCGAAGGCAGCUUACUAAGCUAUAAUUGACGCUGAGGCUCGAAAGCGUGGGGAUCAAACAGG
RNAcentral lists this ribosomal RNA (418 nucleotides) under uncultured bacterium. RNAcentral's name for it is "bacterial SSU rRNA". It matches the Rfam family "Bacterial small subunit ribosomal RNA", at positions 361 to 776 of the family's 1533-position model. The record is from RNAcentral.